This 6298-nucleotide long non-coding RNA is filed under the name Sus scrofa (pig). RNAcentral's name for it is "lncRNA (ENSSSCG00055022841.1)". The record is from RNAcentral. Lineage: Eukaryota; Metazoa; Chordata; Mammalia; Artiodactyla; Suidae.
CAGCGUUUAGAGGUUCCCAGGCUAGGGGCUAUAUUGGAGCAAUGGCUGCCAGCUUUGCCACAGGCACAGCCACAGCAACACCAGAUAUGAGCUACACCUGUGAUCUACACCACAGCUCACAAGAAUUCUGGAUCCUUAACCCACUAAGCAAGGACAGGGAUCAAACCCGCAUCUUCAUGGGUACUAGUCAGGUUCAUUACCACUGAGCCACAACUGGAACUCCCAGAUUAGCUAAUUUUAAAAAGAAUCUGUCAAUAAUUCAUUUGUUAUCACAAAUAAAGAGUAAAAGUUGGCUCACAAGAGGGCUGAGAGUUAUUGUUGUGUGUUGGAUGAGAGGGAGAGUCAGUGGUAUUUGAAUAUCUACAACAUCAGUGGUCUGAAGAUUCCUGAAAGAGAUUUAAAAAUAGUGGUAAAAUUUAUAUUUGACAGAAUAGCAUCUAUGCCAUUUAGAAAGUCUUUUUUCUGUCCUUCUAUAAUGGGAGAUGGUUCUCCUUGUUGGUUGAACAGAAUCAUUGGAAAUCAGGUACUACAAUCUCCCUUGGAGUCCCUUUCUAACUUUCAGUGAUGGCUAAUUCUUUUCUGUUUUUUACUAAUGUCCAAAAAUUCAUUAUCCAAUAUUCCCUUUGUUUACAAAACCAGCAGAGGUCCUGUUAAACAGGGAGUUGUUACUGUUUUUUAAGGGUGUGGCAUCUCCAUACAGCUGCUUAUUUUAAAAUCUAUAAAAUUUUUAGUUUGAGGGUUAUUUUUCCCCUAUCUAAAUAUUUUUCAGUGCCUCUGCCAAAGCAGCAAUCUGCCAUCCAAUCUUUUCGUUACAUACCAGAUCAGCAAUUUCUGGGUUUAGGUUGUCUAUAAAAAUGUUGGAGAAGUAGGGGACAUGUUGGGGAAGUAGUCUCAAGCAAAAUCAACUGUAGCAGGAGGGGACACACCCCAGAGAAACCUUAAUCCUAAACAUUAUCUAAAGGCACUAAUUAAUUUAUCUCUGAACUCUCCUAUAGAUUCACUAUUUUGUUGUUUUUGAGAUGGAAGAAAAGAUCCAAUUCACUUUAGCAAGCCCUGAAAUAUAGUUCCUAAAGUCGAUUUGGUGAGGGAUGCGCAUGAAUUGGCAAAACAGAACUCAUAGUUAUUCUAAUGCACACAGAGAUAAGAUUGAGGAAAGAUUCUUAUAAGAUUUUGAAACGAUGACCCAAAGGUGAGUUUGUUUGAAGUAUACUAGUUUUAUGACAUCUCCUGAACUCGGUGCUUGUUCUAGACUGAGACAUAUUGGCCUCAUGUUUGUCCUCUCAGUGCUGACUUUCUUUUAUAAACAAAUAAAACUCAAGAAACUGUACAAGUAGGUAGACAGUAGAAUAAAUUUUAAAAUAUUUUACAAGGUAAAAAAUAUAAUCUGAUCAGAAUUCAGAAAUCCAACAUAAAUACAAAGUUAUGGGGUUGAAUGAAAUAUUCAGAGAUCAUACUCGGUACGAACUUAUGUCCCAGACAAGUGAUUCUAAGGAGUGUCAGAUGUGCACACUAUUACUGAGUUGGAUGUCCCAGUCUGUAGGGGCAGGCAUCUUAGGUGAAAGUUGGUGAUACUUCCAGUUUUGUUGAAGCCCAAAAGCCAAAGACUACCAGGAACACACUUAUACUCAAACAAAACCAGCUGUAUUAGGAGGGGAGACAUCCCAGAGAAGACACUCUAGGAGCCUCUCAGAGUGUGCAGGGAAUGGUCUCAUUGGUUGGGACUAUGCUAUAAUAUCAUGUUCUGAAUAUUGUUCAGGUUCUGUUGGAAAUAUUAUUAUCUAAUUUUCAGCAAGGAUAGUAGUUGUCAUGUUCUCUGAUUGUUGGAAGGGUGAAUUUUUUCAAAUUCUCACACUAUUGCAAUCCUUUGAAGUAUGCUAUGGAACUAUAUUACAGGUGAUGGCAAUGCUUUGUGCAGCACACAUUUUCAUUAACAUAAGCUCUAUAUGUAGUAUUUGGUAGGCAUUCAUAUAACACCAAAAUUUCCUAUUACUUUUUAACGCCUUUAUCUAUUCUUACCAUAUUCCAGUCACUGCUCUAAUCUUUAAACAUAUAAUAGUAUUUAAAACAAACAAAUGAAAAUUCUUGCUGUCCUAUUAGGGUCUCUAUUCCCAUGUUCCAAUAGAAGAGAUAGAAAACAAGCAAUUAAUAACUAAGUAUAAUGAUGAGUGUCGAGGCAAAUAAAGAAGGGUAAGGUGAUAGAGGGCUACUGAGUGAGAUUUGGUAGAAGUGUGUUUUUUUAGAGAAUCAUCAGGAUGGCUUCUCUGGAGUGAUGACUGUGAGCAAAGAUCUGAGUGAAGGAAAGGAGUGAACCUUUUGAAGAUCUAAGGGAAUAAAUAGUGUUGCAAGCAGAGAGAACAAGAUAGAGGCCAAUAUGGCUAGAGCAGAAUAAGAUGGAGAGUGUUAUGAGAUGAGGUCAGGGAGAUAAGCAGUAACUAGAUCACAUGGGGUCUUGUAGAUUGUGAUAAAGGGUUUGGAUUUCCUUUUCAGUCAUGAGAGAUUAGCAAAGGUCAUGGGAGUUUCUGAGCAGGAGGUUGACAGAAUCUGAUUUUUUAAAAUAGAUUAUUCUGGUUGCUGUGUAUAAAACUGGCAAUGGGAGUAUGAGUGAAAGCAAGGGAUAGAAAGCUGCUGUGACAAUCAACAUGAGAGAUGACAAUGACUUCACCAAGAUGAUAGAGUUCUCAGAUAUAUGCCUGUUGUCAGGGUCUGACUUGAAGCUAGAGUCAAAAGGAUUUGCUGAUGGAUGGAUUAGAUAUAGUGAUUUUAGACAAGAUUAAAGACUGCUCUCUGAGUUGGGGGAAAAAAAAAAAACUGAGUGAAUAGUGGAGCUAUUUCAGAAUAGGGGAAACUGGAAGAGAAUGGAGGCAUUGGGAGAAAAACCACAAGUUCUAUUUUGGGAGUGCAAUGCUCAGCAUGAUUCUUGGACAUUUGCAUGUCACAGUCAAAUAGGCUCAAGGGAGAGAGAGGAACUGGGGAUAUGCUGGGAGCCAUCAGUAUGUAGAUAGGAAAUAAAACUGCCAAGAGAGGAAAUCACUUGGUGAUAAGUGUAAACAGAGGUAAAAAGGGGGCUGAGUUCUGGGACAUUCCAAAAUAUAGAAUCUAGGAAGAGGAAAACAUUCUAGCAAAAGACACCAAAUGGAGCAGAUUGUGAAGUAAAGAAUAGUCCAGGGUAGAGGAUUUCCUGAAAGCAAACCAAAGACAGUGGUUCUGACCAAAAUAGUGAUCAAAUGAAGCACUCCAUUGCGCUUCUCUGAGCUGUUGUGUAGGGCACCUAGUAGAAGCUUUCAACGUAUAUCUCUUGGUGCGCAAGCAAAAGAAUUCAGAUUAUAUUAUGACUGAAAUAUAUAUAUAUAUAUAUCUACACUUUCUAAUAAAUUCCAUUUUAAUUCGAUGACACAAAAAUUAAAAUAUUUUGUACUUUCAUAGUAUUAGAGAGGUGGUCAGUUAAAUGAGGGAAUGAGGCUUCAAAAUUAGGGAAGAAUCCUAAAAAUCUGCUUGAAUCUCUUGCAUAUCCUCCUUAUUCCGCCAAAUACUAUCUCUAGCAUGCUAGGUGAAUCAAUUUAAGUAACUGAAAUCAAAGAAUACACAGUACUAACAAAUUUUUAAAUUAUUAUUUAUAAGUUUCUGGGACCCUUUAUUAAAAUAACAUUCUUAUUUAGGUUAAUUUCAACAUUUUUUCCCUUAGCUGUUAUCUAUUAGUUCAAUCUCUGGCCCCACUCACUGGGUUAAGGAUCCAGCAUUGCCAUGAGCUGUGGUGUAGUUCACAGACAUGGCUUGGAUCUGACAUUGCUAUGGCUAUGGCAUAGACUGGCAGCUGUAACUCCGAUUCAGCCCCUAGUCUGGGAACUUCCAUAUGCUGCAGGUGUGGCAAAAAGUCUUUACCAAAAAAAAAAAAAAAAGUCCCUACCAAAAUAGCAUCCCAUCUCCUUUUUUUUAGUAAUACUAGUAGAGGUAGUUAUUGCUUUUAUUUUCUGGUUUAAUAUACAUCACUCUUUGUAUCUUUUUGAGCUUCCAGCAGUAAAACUUAAGUGUAUGUUCUACUUCAAGCUGGGAUUACUGGAUAGUCACAUUCGUCCUCAUGGUAGACUUGUGCCAUUAGCUUUAUAUAUGUUAUCUUUGUAAUUUCCAAAACUGGAAUCGCUUAGUUUUCACCUUUACAUAAAUAGGAAAUAUAGCAUAGUAGUUAGAAAUCUGUUUUUUGGACUAGUUUAAAAUCCUGGACCUAAUACUUAACUGUAUAAUUUCGGACAAGUCAAUUACAUUUCUGUACAGCAUUAUUUCUUUAUCCUUAAAAUAAAGAUAAGGAGAUAAAUAUUUGGCACCCAUUAUAUCGAAGAAAAUAUGUGUUUUUAAAUAAGUUUUGUAUGUGUUUGUCCUAUAAACAUGACUACACUAACUGGACUGCUUCUGCAUUCCCUUGCACUCAAGUCCCUGCUUUGAUAGGGCAAGUGGUUCUCUUUUGUACUUGCCAGUCCUUAAAGCCCUCUUGUUGGAUCCUGUUGAUGUCCCAUUACCCUUUAUUUAUUUAUUUAUUUAUUUAUUUUUUUGUCUUUUGUCUUUUGUUGUUGUUGUUGCUAUUUCUUGGGCCGCUCCCGCAGCAUAUGGAGGUUCCCAGGCUAGGGGUCGAAUCGGAGCUGUAGCCACCGGCCUACGCCAGAGCCACAGCAACGCGGGAUCCGAGCGAGCCGCGUCUGCAACCUACACCACAGCUCACGGCAACGCCGGAUCGUUAACCCCCUGAGCAAGGGCAGGGACCGAACCCGCAACCUCAUGGUUCCUAGUCGGAUUCGUUAACCACUGCGCCACGACGGGAACUCCCCAUUAAACUUUAUCAUAAUUUAUCCACAUGGACAACUACUAGGCUGUGCCCUGUGCCUAUCUGCCUUAACACUAGCAAUUAUAUCAAUAGAGAUGAUAUAUCAAUAAUUGACAUAUACCAUUCUUGAGAGGAAAUUUUAUCAUCUUAUCAUUUAAUCUUCAUAAAUCAGGAAUUAGAACUAUUUUUAUUUUCUUUAUUACCCAUAAAGAAAAUAAGACUUGAGGAGGCUAAUUCAGUUCCUGCAAGUCAUUACUAGCAAGUGAUAAACCAGUUUUUAAACCAAUGGCUGUGUGACUACCAAAUCUAAAGUCGUUUACAUUGCCUCCAUAGAGCUGCACUGGCUUGAACCAUAAACUUCUAUGUUAAUAGAUUCCUGCUACUCAGGAAUCUAUAGGAAUCUCAUGUUGAUACAUUUGCUGUUUUGCUGCUUUGAGAAUCAUUACCACGUUCUUCAGAUAUCUCACACUAAAAAUGUAACUUUUUUUUUUUUUAUCCAGGCCGUGAUCCUUUCAUGUCUCACCUGAUCCUCCUUUUUAUGAGGUACCAUUCUCUUGCCUUAUUUGAAUAGGUCUGAGUACUACGUAAUUGGCUAUAUGAUCAAGCAGAAGAGAGCCACUGAUUUGAUCUCAGAAAGUAUUGUGAUAUUGUGUACCACUCAUUUACAGUCCAAAAAUAGAACCAGAGACUUGAAACCUAUGAAGUUUGUGUGGCAAGCAGUUUGUCACCAUUGAAUGUGGGCUUAUUUCCACCGUUCAUAUUUUUCUUCUGUGUCUCUAUUAACAUAAGCUGAGAGAUGCUUUUUCUAACAAAAAAGUUUCAUGUCAAAUUCUCCCAGCACCAUUUGGGAAAGUCAUUGAAUAAACUAAUAGUAGGCUUCCAAGCCAAGAGUAAUUAUGUUACAUUGCUCUUUUUUGGCAGGGAGCUAUUUUUUUUCCUGUAAAUGAGCCACUUUAGCAUAAGCACACUUUUAUACUGCAAAGUGGAGGAGGAUUUGAUGCAGAUGUCUCUCAGGUGAGAUACAAGAUCAUAGUUUUUCCACUCCUAGAUUAAUGUAAUGAAGUGAUCAAUCAAUCAAUCAAUUAAUCACCUUAGUUUUCCGGUAAUCACUGUAGCAGAUAGUUAUUAGAAAUGGAAACAUACAUUUGUAAAAGCUAACUCUUCUUUUUUAUUGACAUAUAGUUGACAUACAAUAUUAUAUUAGUCUCAGAUAUACCACAUAGUGAUUUGGCAUUUGCAUACCAUGAAAUGAUCACCAAGAUAAGUCUAGUAACCAUCUGUCCCCAUACAAAGUUAUUACAACACGAUGUGACAUUUCAUAUUCAGAAAACACUUUAAAAUCAUUCAUAUUAGUUUUUCCUUUAAGCCAAAUUUUAAGGAGUGUUAUUUCUCUGAUUGUCAUUUUUUAGAGGCGCAAACUGGUUCAGGAAGGUUAAAUAACUUGUCCAAAUAUGGUCAGCAGCUUGAUGGCAAAAGUCGAGCUAG